Molecule: transfer RNA, 73 nt
Filed under: Myxococcales bacterium
Lineage: Bacteria; Pseudomonadati; Myxococcota; Myxococcia; Myxococcales
Description: tRNA-Lys
Rfam family: tRNA
About the family: Transfer RNA (tRNA) molecules are approximately 80 nucleotides in length.
Source: RNAcentral
GGGCUCGUAGCUCAGAUGGUAGAGCAACGGACUUUUAAUCCGUGGGUCGUCGGUUCGAUCCCGACCGAGCUCA